Molecule: long non-coding RNA, 221 nt
Organism: Ahaetulla prasina
Lineage: Eukaryota; Metazoa; Chordata; Lepidosauria; Squamata; Colubridae
Exons: 2
Source: RefSeq, a predicted model, not a curated record
CGCGCGGGUCUGCGAAUGCCGAGCGCGGACUGCUUGGAAAAGGACAGCGGGCGCGAGGGACGGAGUGGGGUUGUGACGUCACCGCCUAAGGGAGACGUGCGUGAACGUGUCCUCCCCCCCGCCACCACCCUUCCCCUGGAUCUUGCUGGGUGUGGGAGCUUUCCUCAACCCCCACGGGCUGACAGCCAAGACGGGAGCCACCCACCCCACGAUCCUCCGGG